This is a non-coding RNA of Mycobacterium sp. 1274756.6, 112 nucleotides long. Lineage: Bacteria; Bacillati; Actinomycetota; Actinomycetes; Mycobacteriales; Mycobacteriaceae. The record is from Rfam.
CUUCAUGAGUGGCCGUCGCCAAGCUCCGACUGGGCGGCCCGCCAACCCCACGCUCGUGGGUGGCUCGGAUGACGAAGCGACCGGCGCCAACCGGCACCGGUAAGAGCGCCUC